GCAUGGUUUAGAAAGAAUUUUCAGCUUUAUCUAAUCUUUUUAUUAGACGAAAUUGAUCAGCUUUGAACUGUAUAGGUCAAAACCUUCAUAGGCUGUGCCUACUUGUGAAGAGCAAAAGCAAUUUGCCAAUUGGAAGUGUGAAGUCACUAAUACGAUCACUCUGGACAACAGAAUGUUGCAGCUGUCAGUAAAAGAUGAUUUUUGCUAGUAUCAGGCAGUUAAUGAAUGUUGUAGAAAACCUACCAGAAUAAUGCUUAAACGCAUUUUUAUUUAUUGUUUUUGCUUGUCAGAUCUCUUACCGAACUGAAUGUUAGCUUUCCUGUCUGGAACUAUAAUUUAUAUAUAAAUUUGAGAUUUAUUUUGAUAUUAUUGUGGUUUAGGCG
This 383-nucleotide unclassified non-coding RNA is filed under the name Hevea brasiliensis (rubber tree). Lineage: Eukaryota; Viridiplantae; Streptophyta; Magnoliopsida; Malpighiales; Euphorbiaceae. The record is from RNAcentral.